This 317-nucleotide long non-coding RNA is filed under the name Apteryx owenii (little spotted kiwi). Its description in RNAcentral is "lncRNA (ENSAOWG00000007303.1)". Lineage: Eukaryota; Metazoa; Chordata; Aves; Apterygiformes; Apterygidae. The record is from RNAcentral.
UAAAUACUGUGUCAGUGUCUCGCUGCCGCUACAGAAACUCUGAUUACCGCCGUGGGUCUCGCCUGCCGGGCGAGUGAAGAACCGGCGGCCAGAGCUGCCAGCGGCUGCCGGCGACCCGCGGCUGCUCGGGGGCACCGCUGUGCGCCUGCGCGGCGCGCGCCGCGGCUCGGUGUGGUUUCCCAUGUCAUCGCAUACACUGUGAAAGCCUCUUUGUAAUGUACACAGUUUGUCAAAUGCUAUUAAAGCCUACAAACAUUAACAGCCUCAGGAUGUCCAUGCUUUGGCCCUGGAAGAGAAUUUUGAUUCUUCUCCAGUAA